Molecule: ribosomal RNA, 1590 nt
Filed under: Triticum aestivum (bread wheat)
Lineage: Eukaryota; Viridiplantae; Streptophyta; Magnoliopsida; Poales; Poaceae
Description: partial small subunit ribosomal RNA
Source: RNAcentral
AUGGCCGGCCGCCGCCGCAGCCGCUCCCGAAUCCAAGGCGACGGGGCGGCCCGUCCUAGUCGCCGCCGCUCCCGAGUCCACGGCAGCGAGAACGGCGACGGGGCGACCCGUCCUAGUCGCCGCCGCUCCCGAGUCAUCAGCAGCGAGGACGGCGACGGCGUGACCCGUCCUAGUCGCCGCCGCUCCCGAGUCGUCGCCAGCGAGGACGGCGACGGGGCGACCCGUCCCAGCCGCCGCCGCUCCCGAGUCGUCGGCAGCGAGGACGGCGAUGGGGCGACCCGUCCUAGUCGCCGCCGCUCCCGAGUCGUCGGCAGCGAGGACGGCGACGGCGUGACCCGUCCUAGUCGCCGCCGCUCCCGAGUCGUCGGCAGCGACGACGGCGACGGGGCGACCCGUCCCAGCCGCCGCCGCCGCGCCAGCUCGCCGGAGGUGCCAGACGAAGCUGACGCUGAUACCCUGUGGGAGUCGCUGCCGUUGGAUAUGAUUUGGGAGAUCCUGCUCCUGCUUCCACCGGAGCGGCCCUCCCUCGUGCUGCCACCGAAGCGGCGCUCCUUCCUGCGCGCAUCCGGCGUCUCCACGCUCUGGCGAGGCGUCGCCACCGACCCCAACUUUAUGAGCCAGCACCGCAGGAAGUGGAAGCCUCCCCUCCUCGGCGUUUUCGAGCGCCGCCAGCAGAAGUUCCACUUCACCCCCGUCUUGCAUCCUCCCGACGGUAUCCCUGCCGACCGCAUUCACAUCUCAAGCCAGAUGACCUCCCGCGACUGCGACGCGACCGGCUGCCGCCACGGUCGGGUGCUGGCCAUACACAGGCUGCUGCCGCGUCUUGUCGUGUUCGCCCCCCUCACCGGCCAGGAGCACUGCCUGGCCUUUCCGGACGAGUUCAGGGAGUGCAACUACCACCACGGGGCUGUGCUCUGUGCUGCCAGCGGCCCGGAGGACCACGUGCACGGCUUUUGCCACGAGAGCCCAUUCAAGGUGGCAUUCUUGUCGAGGUACCCUACACGCUAUCGAUUUAUCACAUCUGUUUACUCAUCAGAAAGUGGCACAUGGGGCGGCCUUAAGGAAAUAGAAGCUCCAUUUAAAGUUGCUCUUGUUGAUGUUCCUGCGACCCUGGUUGGAAAUGUGCUCUACUGGAUGCUUUCAUCAAAUGAUGUUUGUGCUGCCAUGCUUGAGUUUGAUUUGGAUACGCAGAGCCUAGCUGUGAUCAAGGGACCUUCUGAUAUGAAUUAUUCCGGCAGCCAUAGGAUCAUCAAAAUAGAGCAAGGCACGGUUGGCUGGGUCAGGUUUUCAUUUCCGAGCCUAGAGAUAUGGCUGAGGCAAAAGAAUUGUCAUGGUGUUGCCACGUGGUUGCAGCACAAGACAGUUGAUAUGCAUGACAUUCUUGGGAUCCCUCCCCGGGCUAGUAAUAAUCGGUGGCAUCAGAAAAUCCUCUCCUAUGACGAGGACAACAAUGUGAUCAUUCUGUAUGUUGAUGACAGUGCCUACAUGCUUGAUCUUAAGUCGAUGGAAUCCACAAAACUUGAUGAAAGCCGUUUGAUGAAUCGCUGUCACCCUUUCGCCAGUUUCUAUCCACCAGACAUGACCAUCUAA